This 253-nucleotide ribosomal RNA is filed under the name uncultured bacterium. RNAcentral describes it as "partial 16S ribosomal RNA". It matches the Rfam family "Bacterial small subunit ribosomal RNA", at positions 524 to 776 of the family's 1533-position model. The record is from RNAcentral.
UACGUAGGGGGCAAGCGUUAUCCGGAUUUACUGGGUGUAAAGGGGGCGCAGACGGCAAUGCAAGCCAGGAGUGAAAGCCCGGGGCCCAACCCCGGGACUGCUCUGGGAACUGUCUAGCUAGAGUGCAGGAGGGGUAAGUGGAAUUCCUAGUGUAGCGGUGAAAUGCGUAGAUAUUAGGAGGAACACCAGUGGCGAAGGCGGCUUACUGGACUGUAACUGACGUUGAGGCUCGAAAGCGUGGGGAGCAAACAGG